Molecule: long non-coding RNA, 631 nt
Filed under: Homo sapiens (human)
Lineage: Eukaryota; Metazoa; Chordata; Mammalia; Primates; Hominidae
Description: non-protein coding lnc-TFF1-2:2
Source: RNAcentral
AUUCUGCAAGCCACCCUGGGGUGCAGCUGAGCUAGACAUGGGACGGCGAGACGCCCAGCUCCUGGCAGCGCUCCUCGUCCUGGGGCUAUGUGCCCUGGCGGGGAGUGAGAAACCCUAGAUGGGGUUUCGACAUGUUGCCCAGGAUGGUCUUGAACUCCUGAGCUCAAGCAAUCUGCCCGCCUCGGCUUCCUAAAGUGCUGGGAUUAUAGCCCCCUGCCAGUGCUCCAGGCUGAGCCCCCAUAACAGGACGAACUGCGGCUUCCCUGGAAUCACCAGUGACCAGUGUUUUGACAAUGGAUGCUGUUUCGACUCCAGUGUCACUGGGGUCCCCUGGUGUUUCCACCCCCUCCCAAAGCAAGAGUCGGAUCAGUGCGUCAUGGAGGUCUCAGACCGAAGAAACUGUGGCUACCCGGGCAUCAGCCCCGAGGAAUGCGCCUCUCGGAAGUGCUGCUUCUCCAACUUCAUCUUUGAAGUGCCCUGGUGCUUCUUCCCGAAGUCUGUGGAAGACUGCCAUUACUAAGAGAGGCUGGUUCCAGAGGAUGCAUCUGGCUCACCGGGUGUUCCGAAACCAAAGAAGAAACUUCGCCUUAUCAGCUUCAUACUUCAUGAAAUCCUGGGUUUUCUUAACCAU